Molecule: ribosomal RNA, 427 nt
Filed under: uncultured bacterium
Lineage: Bacteria
Description: partial 16S ribosomal RNA
Rfam family: Bacterial small subunit ribosomal RNA
Source: RNAcentral
UGGGGAAUAUUGGACAAUGGGCGAAAGCCUGAUCCAGCCAUGCCGCGUGUGUGAAGAAGGUCUUCGGAUUGUAAAGCACUUUAAGUUGGGAGGAAGGGCAUUAACCUAAUACGUUAGUGUUUUGACGUUACCGACAGAAUAAGCACCGGCUAACUCUGUGCCAGCAGCCGCGGUAAUACAGAGGGUGCAAGCGUUAAUCGGAAUUACUGGGCGUAAAGCGCGCGUAGGAGGUUUGUUAAGUUGGAUGUGAAAUCCCCGGGCUCAACCUGGGAACUGCAUUCAAAACUGACUGACUAGAGUAUGGUAGAGGGUGGUGGAAUUUCCUGUGUAGCGGUGAAAUGCGUAGAUAUAGGAAGGAACACCAGUGGCGAAGGCGACCACCUGGACUAAUACUGACACUGAGGUGCGAAAGCGUGGGGAGCAAACA